RNAcentral lists this ribosomal RNA (955 nucleotides) under Hermagoras cultratolobatus. RNAcentral describes it as "SSU rRNA". It matches the Rfam family "Eukaryotic small subunit ribosomal RNA", at positions 424 to 1319 of the family's 1831-position model. The record is from RNAcentral. Lineage: Eukaryota; Metazoa; Arthropoda; Insecta; Phasmatodea; Lonchodidae.
AGCAGCAGGCGCGCAAAUUACCCACUCCCGGCACGGGGAGGUAGUGACGAAAAAUAACGAUACGGGACUCAUCCGAGGCCCCGUAAUCGGAAUGAGCACACUUUAAACCCUUUAACGAGUAUCCAUUGGAGGGCAAGUCUGGUGCCAGCAGCCGCGGUAAUUCCAGCUCCAAUAGCGUAUAUUAAAGUUGUUGCGGUUAAAAAGCUCGUAGUUGGAUGUGUGUCCCACGCUGUCGGUUCACCGUUCGUCGGUGUUUAACUGGCAUGCCCGUGUGGACGUCCUGCCGGUGGAUGCGGUCGGCCGUGGGCUUCGGUCUGCGCGUCGGCGGUCCGAUGCAAUCCUACCGCGGUGCUCUUCACCGAGUGUCGAGGUGGGCCGGCACGUUUACUUUGAACAAAUUAGAGUGCUUAAAGCAGGCAGUGGUUCGCCUGAAUAUUGUGUGCAUGGAAUAAUGGAAUAGGACCUCGGUUCUAUUUUGUUGGUUUUCGGAACUUGAGGUAAUGAUUAAUAGGGACAAAUGGGGGCAUUCGUAUUGCGACGUUAGAGGUGAAAUUCUUGGAUCGUCGCAAGACGAACCUAAGCGAAAGCAUUUGCCAUAAGUGUUUUCAUUAAUCAAGAACGAAAGUUAGAGGUUCGAAGGCGAUCAGAUACCGCCCUAGUUCUAACCAUAAACGAUGCCAGCUAGCGAUCCGCCGAAGUUCCUCCGAUGACUCGGCGGGCAGCUUCCGGGAAACCAAAGCUUUUGGGUUCCGGGGGAAGUAUGGUUGCAAAGCUGAAACUUAAAGGAAUUGACGGAAGGGCACCACCAGGAGUGGAGCCUGCGGCUUAAUUUGACUCAACACGGGAAACCUCACCAGGCCCGGACACCGGANGGAUUGACAGAUUGAGAGCUCUUUCUUGAUUCGGUGGAUGGUGGUGCAUGGCCGUUCUUAGUUGGUGGAGCGAUUUGUCUGGU